This 484-nucleotide ribosomal RNA is filed under the name uncultured bacterium. Its description in RNAcentral is "partial 16S ribosomal RNA". It matches the Rfam family "Bacterial small subunit ribosomal RNA", at positions 30 to 507 of the family's 1533-position model. The record is from RNAcentral.
AUUGAACGCUGGCGGAAUGCUUUACACAUGCAAGUCGAACGGCAGCACGGGGGCAGCCCUGGUGGCGAGUGGCGAACGGGUGAGUAAUACAUCGGAACGUGCCCGGUCGUGGGGGAUAACGUAGCGAAAGUUACGCUAAUACCGCAUACGAUCUGAGGAUGAAAGCGGGGGACCUUCGGGCCUCGCGCGAUCGGAGCGGCCGAUGUCUGAUUAGGUAGUUGGUGGGGUAAAGGCCUACCAAGCCGACGAUCUGUAGCUGGUCUGAGAGGACGACCAGCCACACUGGAACUGAGACACGGCCCAGACUCCUACGGGAGGCAGCAGUGGGGAAUUUUGGACAAUGGGCGCAAGCCUGAUCCAGCCAUUCCGCGUGCAGGACGAAGGCCUUCGGGUUGUAAACUGCUUUUGUACGGAACGAAAAGGCUCUGGCUAAUACCUGGGGCUCAUGACGGUACCGUAAGAAUAAGCACCGGCUAACUACGUG